GGGCACGACACCGGAGAGGGAGCCUGAGAAACGGCUACCACAUCCAAGGAUGGCAGCAGGCGCGCAAAUUACCCAAUCCCGACACGGGGAGGUAGUGACAAUAAAUAACAAUACGGGGUUCUUUAGGAUCUCGUAAUUGGAAUGAGUACAAUUUAAAUCUCUUAACGAGGAACAAUUGGAGGGCAAGUCUGGUGCCAGCAGCCGCGGUAAUUCCAGCUCCAAUAGCGUAUAUUAAAGUUGUUGCAGUUAAAAAGCUCGUAGUUGAAUUUCGGGGUUAGUAGGUUGGUCAUGCCUCUGGUAUGUACUGGUCUCACUGAUUCCUCCUUCCUUAUGAACCGUAAUGCCAUUAAUUUGGUGUUGCGGGGAAUUUGGACUGUUACUUUGAAAAAAUUAGAGUGUUUAAAGCAAGCUAACGCUUGAAUACAUUAGCAUGGAAUAAUGAAAUAGGACGUUCGAUCCUAUUUUGUUGGUUUCUAGGAUUGACGUAAUGAUUAAUAGGGAUAGUUGGGGGCAUUAGUAUUCAAUUGUCAGAGGUGAAAUUCUUGGAUUUAUUGAAGACUAA
Molecule: ribosomal RNA, 562 nt
Filed under: uncultured Glomeromycotina
Lineage: Eukaryota; Fungi; Glomeromycota
Description: SSU rRNA
Rfam family: Eukaryotic small subunit ribosomal RNA
Source: RNAcentral